CCGCCGAGAUCACAUACGACGUCCUCGAGCGGCUGCGCUGCGGAGAUUACAGAUCAAGAAGACGAGCAGGAGGAUCAGAUCCAGUCAGUUUGACCAGAUGGAGCGAUGGCCUGGGGGAAGGCCAUGGUCGAUGACCGCAUCGCGUGCCGGCACGGGUGUCACAUCCCCGGCUGCCUCUUUAUCCAUUGACCAUCUCACAGUUGUCCUUCUCCCAAGUCUGCAGCCGUUCUCUCCUCAAGCUACGUGAGCCAACUGCAACAAGGGCUUGAGAUGCUGUGCCGACAGGCUUGGGUGAUCGGAACAUGUUGGUGUCUGCGCAAAUAUGUACACGCUCUGCUUUGUUUAUUCCGAGUAGCCGAUCUGCUUCUCAGGCUUGUAGUACUAGGUUGCAGUGCAGGUAAGCAAUACAGAAAGUGUUAGUAUUCAAAAUAAGCAAUAGAUUAGUUGAGCAGUUCUAGAUGAACUGGAAUUACUAGAGCUUACCCUGAAAUUACGAGAUAAACUGGACAACAAGCAAGAGAUUAAUUAAAGAGUAUCUGCACUGAAUUCAAACAAUACAAAGAGAAAAGCAAUAGUCGUCAUGGGUUGUAGCCUUGUAGGCUACUACAAAAACCUACUUCCUCUGUCCAAAAAAAGCUUGUCUUAGAUUUGUCUAAAUACAGAUGUAUCUAGACACAUUUUUGUGAUAUAUACAUCCGUAUCUAGAUAAAUCUAAGAUAAGCUUUUUGGGAUGGAGGUAAUAUAUAUUCACUGCAGCAGGCAAUCUAUAAAUUGAGUUGUUUUCCCCUAUUGUUUAAUCACCUCAUUAUUUUUGAUCUGUCAAAUUUGUUACUCCCUCAGUUCUUAAAUAUAAAACCUUUUAGAUAUUUCAAUAAUAACUACAUACGGAUGUAUAUAGACAUAUUUUAGAGUGUAGAUUCACUCAUUUCACUCCGUAUGUAGUUCAUAUUGAAAUCUCUAAAAGGUCUUAUAUUUAGGAACGAGGGAGUAUACAAUAUAAACAAUCCUUUUAGUCAAUUUCUUGCCAUUCUAUUGCUAACUUUCUUGCUUGAGUGUUAUCUCAUCAGGACACAGAAGUUGAAAUGCAUAAAUUUGAUCUGAAGUGGCAUGAUCCCAGUCAAGACUUACUAUGCAUGUUCGAUGUUUUCUCCAUUAUAGUAGUAGAGUAAGCCACCAGGAGAGGCUACGAACCGGAGUGUGGGAGAUCGCCGUUGUUGCUUGGACAGCCUGCCACCACGCUCAAGAUCACUCAGUACAUACAGACAUUACCUGAUCAUAUAGACGAAUGAGAGAUUUUCGUACCUUAUUUCUGUUCACUAUGAGUUCCCUUAUUUUGCUCGUUUGCAAGAAUAUUGGAGUCAGAUAAGGAAUGAUGGUAUGUUGUGAUUAUACGUAGUAUGUUGUGAUCGUGAUCUUCAGUUUUAUG
Molecule: long non-coding RNA, 1426 nt
Organism: Triticum dicoccoides
Lineage: Eukaryota; Viridiplantae; Streptophyta; Magnoliopsida; Poales; Poaceae
Exons: 3
Source: RefSeq, a predicted model, not a curated record